AUUGAACGCUGGCGGCAGGCCUAACACAUGCAAGUCGAACGGUAACAGGAAGAAGCUUGCUUCUUUGCUGACGAGUGGCGGACGUGUGAGUAAUGUCUGGGAAACUGCCUGAUGGAGGGGGAUAACUACUGGAAACGGUAGCUAAUACCGCAUGACGUCGCAAGACCAAAGAGGGGGACCUUCGGGCCUCUUGCCAUCGGAUGUGCCCAGAUGGGAUUAGCUAGUAGGUGGGGUAACGGCUCACCUAGGCGACGAUCCCUAGCUGGUCUGAGAGGAUGACCAGCCACACUGGAACUGAGACACGGUCCAGACUCCUACGGGAGGCAGCAGUGGGGAAUAUUGCACAAUGGGCGCAAGCCUGAUGCAGCCAUGCCGCGUGUAUGAAGAAGGCCUUCGGGUUGUAAAGUACUUUCAGCGGGGAGGAAGGGAGUAAAGUUAAUACCUUGGCUCAUUGACGUUACCCGCAGAAGAAGCACCGGCUAACUCCGUG
RNAcentral lists this ribosomal RNA (490 nucleotides) under uncultured bacterium. Its description in RNAcentral is "partial 16S ribosomal RNA". It matches the Rfam family "Bacterial small subunit ribosomal RNA", at positions 30 to 507 of the family's 1533-position model. The record is from RNAcentral.